ACUGGUAGAGCAAUCACGUUAUAUGCUGUUUUAUAACUUAUGUAUUUUCAUAAUGAUGUGUAACACAAAAAAAAUAAUUCUAUUUAUUGCAUUUUUGGGAUACCCUUUGAGAAUUUUCAUAUUGUGACCGACCCAGCGCCAUCUUGUCACAUUUGCGACGUACAUCUGAUGAUCCAGAACAUGACGAGGACGAACGGGAAAAACAAAUUAGGAAUAUAAUAUUUGGUGGACAAGAUAAAAGGAGUUUCAGGUCAUAAGAGAAGAUACCAGAGCUUCAUCCAUCGUGGAUGUUUAUCCAGAGAAUUGCAUCAUGUGCUUGGAGAAAUGCAUAGAGUCCUUGCUCCCCACAAUGCUGAAUUCUUCGAGGAAGUCAGAAUGAGAUGGGAGGAUUGCUGCGCCAGGGUCAUUUUACGGAAGGCAAAGAAGGCAAUAAAGCCACCAAUCAACAGGGAUAAAAUGGAAGCCAACUUUGCUCUGGUGAAGGCCCUUGCCAUUCUCUUUCCCCCAGUGGCACCUCCAUCAAAGAAACUGGGGUGUGCUAGUGAAGCUUUACUGCAUGUUCAGGAGUCAACAGAAGAUCCAAACGUCUUCAUCCAGAAGAAAGGCCUUUCAAGUCCAGUCUUGGUAUUCGAUGGCUGUAGAUGAAUCGUUGCUAUUG
Molecule: non-coding RNA, 658 nt
Organism: Oryzias latipes (Japanese medaka)
Lineage: Eukaryota; Metazoa; Chordata; Actinopteri; Beloniformes; Adrianichthyidae
Source: RefSeq, a predicted model, not a curated record